This is a non-coding RNA of Erythranthe guttata (spotted monkey flower), 1098 nucleotides long. The record is from RefSeq and is a predicted model, not a curated record. Lineage: Eukaryota; Viridiplantae; Streptophyta; Magnoliopsida; Lamiales; Phrymaceae.
GUACAACAUAUUUUCUGAAUUGCUAUUAGGACCCCCAUGGUUUUAGAUAUUGCACAAUAGCCCUUGGGAAACUUCCUCCUAAUUUCCUAGUAUAAGCCAAGGAAGAUUCCUCCUCUUUCCUUCUCUAUUUUCCCUACGGGAAUUCCGAGAAGAAAGGAAAUUUUGGGUCUUCACUCUUCUUCCUCCCAUCCCUCGGCAGCCUCACCCCGAAGAUUCAACGAGAACUCAUCAAAGUUUCCCCUUCUUUCUUGGGAAGUUUCACAUCUAAUUAAUGGGAUUAAUUUCCCUAUAUAAUCCGCAGACUAUCGAGAGGAUCAGAGGGGGGGGAUAGCUCCAAGUUCAGCCCCAACAGCCUUCAGCCAAAGCUCCGAGAAUCUCCUUCGGUUUCCUCUUCUUCCUUGUAUUCGAUUUUCUUCAAAGAGGAAGUCAGAAUCUUAAAUGGCUAUCGGUCGAGUAGACACGGAAAUACGGAGGGGCCGGUAUUCCAACUACGGUACUAUAGACUAUAGAGUGGAUAGCUUCCAUUAAUAAACGGGCUCAGAAUAUCGACGUCUAUUACCGAUAACCAUGUUAUGAAUCUGAUAGGUAUCCCGUCAUAUUGCAUCUAUACGUUUAAAUUGUUAAUACUGACUAUGGGGACUUUAUGUCUAUAUGUGCUACGGCUAUUGGGUCGUUGCAUCCCCAUGUUAAUACAAUUUUUUGUAUAUGUGAAUACACUUUGUGAGUAUACGUUAAGCAGGGAAGCUCUUCGUCCAUGUCGAGGUCGAGGUUCUCGAAACGGUUAUGGAGGCUAGCGGAGCAGAGUUCGAGGAAUUUCGAGACUUUAUGCAAAUCGAGUGUUUUAAAGGAUUAUAAUAGUCAAUUUCGUUUUAAGUGUUUAAUAUGAGAAGUUGAUAAAUACUUUUAUAAUGUACUCUGAUUUAGGAAUCUAGUCUAUUAAACCGGGGUGUAUGUAAAAUAAAGUUACUUUAUCUUCCGCUGUAUUACAAGUAUUGCUUUAAAACCCCGUCUAUGUUGAAGUAGCACUCUUUAUGAAAAUUCUAGUUCAAGUGUGGGUUAUGUUUUGAAGAAAGAAAAAUGCUUUGACGAUUUCCAAAC